Molecule: long non-coding RNA, 681 nt
Filed under: Betta splendens (Siamese fighting fish)
Lineage: Eukaryota; Metazoa; Chordata; Actinopteri; Anabantiformes; Osphronemidae
Description: lncRNA (ENSBSLG00000018868.1)
Source: RNAcentral
AUGCCAUCACUGUCUUUUCACAGUCCUGGAAGAGUGGCGCUAUUCAUUUGUGCCGUAGACGAGCCACUUCAGCGCAACACUGCCAUCCAUUCUGUUAAGAAGAGGAGGCAGACGGGGAGAGAAAGAGCAUGGGAACCAUUUGGCACUAGAAAAAAACCCUCAGGAGUGUGGGAGAGGGCCAACAAGCUGUCUACAGCAUCCAGGGACCAGACACUCAAUGUGUCGGCUACGCCACCGAGACAGAGGAGAAUGUCAGACUCCCCCAACGCAGAUGAUGACGUUUGUCUUUUCAUCGGGACAAUGGGACGACACUGCACAAAGUGGGAGAGUGUGCAGGUGUUUACUGUAAGGGGGCAGAAGAAAGGACGAGGAAAGAUGGAAACAAACAUCAGUGGCCUCAAGGCCUGGACGGCAGAUGGACUGAAGGAUGAACAGAGAGGAGAGGAGAAAGCAAGUCAUGAGCAAUUUUUUUUUUUUAUUGCCAGAAUACAUAAAACAAAUCUUGAGUGAUGUUGCAGACCACCCAUCAGAUGAGGAGCGUAACUUCCAGGAAAGGAGAACUGGGAAGUAAACGCUUUGUGGUUCCACACAGAAGCCACACACCAGACCUCCACUGUGACUGCAAUGAUGUGUGUUUAUACAAGCACGUGUGAGACAUGAAUAAACAGAAGAAGUGUUUCA